Molecule: long non-coding RNA, 2010 nt
Organism: Marmota monax (woodchuck)
Lineage: Eukaryota; Metazoa; Chordata; Mammalia; Rodentia; Sciuridae
Exons: 3
Source: RefSeq, a predicted model, not a curated record
UCCGCGCCGACCCGGAAGUGCUGCAGCCGCCGGCGCCGCCGGAGGAAAGGGGAGGAGCUCUGCACGCCGGCCGCGCCCCGCCGGCCGGAGCCCCGCCGGCCGGAGCCCCGCCUAGCCCCGCCGGAGUCCCGCACCGCGCCGAGCCAGCCGCGCCCCUUGCGUCGGGUCCCCUGCGACCCUGAACGGGGCGAGGCGGGCGCCUGUUCUGGCACGUUUGAGUUGGCUACUACGGCGGCCGGGAGACGCUCGGGCCGGAGCCGCGGCGGGGGUGGGGGUUCGGCUCCGUCGUAAUCCGCGCGCGAGCGACUAGCCUUCUGCCCUUCGGAGGCUGGCUGAGAGUAAGAAUGGCCGAGGAGUCAGAAAAAGAGGAGAUAUUGCUAUUUCAGGCUGUCUCUUUCCCCAAAUCACCAGGUUUAUGAUCCUCCUAUUUUCUAAAGAUGGUUACUCUCCUGACUUACAGCUGAAGACCUUUUACAACACUUGUGGAAUGCAACCAAACAGGCUUUGUGACUUUGUCAGAUCCCACUCACCCAUGAACAGAAUUGUGAGUUUUGACUCCAAGUUGGUUGAAUCUUCCUUGUAUUACUGUCCUAAGAAUCUCCCGUUUCCACACAGCUGUACCCUCAUUCUUGGCAACUUCCACAUUUCCAGAAUGACCUAGUCAUGGGACCCAAAAAAGUCCAAAAGUUGUGGGAAGGCUGACUGGCUACAUGAACAAGAAUGACUUAUAAGAAAUUUAAAAGACAUUUACUGUAUAACCUACAUUUAGUAAUUUCCAGGUCAUUCAGUUAAUAAGAAGAAUUGAUAUGGUUUGUGUGUUUCUACUAUUUGUACUUUGUCAUAAUUGCAUUUUAUAGCUAAAACAUGAACAACUUGUAGCUGAGGAUGUAGCUCAGUGGUAGAGCACUUGUCUAGCAUGUGUGAUGCCCUAAGUUCAAUUCCCAACACUGAAAAAGAAAAGAAAAGAAAAGAAAAUUAAAAUUAUAAAAAAAAAAACAAGAGAAACAAUGCACAAGUCAGUUGGCCAGUACAUGAUUCAUAGCACUAAUUCCUAUUUUUUAAGUGUUUCACAGAAUAUGCUGACAUGAUAUUUAGUAGUAAAAAUAAAAACAGGUAGUUGUUCCUGUAAACAUCCUUAAGAAAAGAUACAUAUUUAGAAAACCUGUUUGCUUUUAAAGGAGAAGAAAUAGACUAUGAACAUUGUUUAAAUAAAUCUUAAUCUGGUUACAUGUAUACUUGAGCUCUGGUGGUAGACCAUUUCUGUGUUUCAUCACUUGUUACCUCUAAGGUGCAAAAACUUAAGUUUUAUGAUGGACUAUUACUGUAAUUUCUUUCCUAUAAUUGGUCUGCUUCUGAGGCUAAUUUAGCAAUCAGAUCACUGUAUAAGUAUUCCCAUUUAUGGAUGUACCACAAUUUGACAACCUCGGUCUGAUGCCAUCUUCAGUGAACCUCAACAGGCAUAAGGCACUAUUUUAGGCACUGUAGAGGAUAUAAAGAUGCCUAAGAAGUUAAGAUUACAGAGGGAGAGCAGAACUACAAGUAACUGAGUAUGUAGCUACAUGAGUGUGAAAGAGAUACAGGCAGAGUGGUACAGUGCAGGGGAAUUAAGGUUUGCUUCUCAUUUGAAAAGAAAGAGAAAGGAGAAAGCAUUCCAGAUCAAGGGGGCUGGGCAGAGGCAUGGAGCAGGAGAGUCCAGGCUGCAGUCGGGAAUGAGUAAGCCCUGUGCUAACUAAUACCCGAGUGUGAGUGGGCGACACCAAAGAAAAAGACUGAACAAAACAAUGUGGCAGGUCCUGGACUCUUCUUUCAGAGAGGCAUGAGUCAUAGAGGCUUUGGGCAUGACUGGGAUUUGUUCCAACACUGUUCCAUGAUAAUGUCUCUCAGGCAGUACUAUGACACUGUUUGAUUGCUCAAGCCUCUUGUGUCACUUUUUUUCUGAUGGAAGAGACUCAUUUUAAAAUAAAAACAAAGCAAAAUCUCUUAUCCUUGACCAUGUUCCCUUCUAUUAGU